AUGGAAGGAAGUCGAGCCUACUCGUGGUGCCAGCACCUAGAGGGAGGGCUGAGCCUGGGGAGAGAGAGAAGACAGACCAUAGGACAAAUCGCUUGGAUAUUGACGAGAAUUAGAUCAAAUGCCGGACUAGCAACGUUGGCCUUGAAAAGGAAAAGAAACAUCUCUUUCUCGAAGGUUAAUAGAGAGGACAUUAGAUACAUUUGUGGAUCAGAAGGAAUCAGAGGCUCAUCACACAGAUCUCGGUACCCCCACGGCCAGGGAAGUGGGAGGCUUCCUAGGGUGGCGGCGCCCAGGUGGCCUGGGCCGCGCACCUGCCCGAACCGCACACCUGCCCCAACCACGCACCUGCCCGAACCGUGCACCUGCCUGAACCGUGCACCUGCGUCCCAUCGGCUAGCUCGGCUCCUCUCCUGCCCACCUCGCGGCCAAGGAGCCUCCAGGCUCAGAACCUCAGGAAAUUCCUCGACGGCGACAAUCAGCACAAGCCCCUGGAUCUGCGGCCCAGGGGACCCAGGCCACGUGCUACUGGUGCGAGGAAAGGCCUAG
This 546-nucleotide long non-coding RNA is filed under the name Vulpes vulpes (red fox). RNAcentral describes it as "lncRNA (ENSVVUG00000001928.1)". Lineage: Eukaryota; Metazoa; Chordata; Mammalia; Carnivora; Canidae. The record is from RNAcentral.